UCCGGUUUGACACCGGCAGUCUCCACAGAGUGCCCAACUUAAUGAUGGCAACUGAGGAUAGGGGUUGCGCUCGUUAUAGGACUUAACCUGACACCGUAUCUCUACGGCUUUUCCCUACAUGUCAAGCCCAGGUAAGGUUCUUCGCGUUGCCUCGAAUUAAGCAACAUGCUCCGCCGCUUGUGCGGGCCCCCGUCAAUUCCUUUGAGUUUUAGCCUUGCGGCCGUACUCCCCAGGCGGAGUGCUUAAUGCGUUAGCUGCAGCACUAAAGGGCGGAAACCCUCUAACACUUAGCACUCAUCGUUUACAGCGUGGACUAC
RNAcentral lists this unclassified non-coding RNA (317 nucleotides) under uncultured bacterium. RNAcentral's name for it is "contains 16S-23S intergenic spacer region". The record is from RNAcentral.